RNAcentral lists this ribosomal RNA (352 nucleotides) under uncultured bacterium. Its description in RNAcentral is "bacterial SSU rRNA". It matches the Rfam family "Bacterial small subunit ribosomal RNA", at positions 28 to 369 of the family's 1533-position model. The record is from RNAcentral.
GACGAACGCUGGCGGCGUGCCUAAUACAUGCAAGUCGAGCGGACCAAAGGGAGCUUGCUCCUGGAGGUUAGCGGCGAACGGGUGAGUAACACGUGGGCAACCUGCCUGUAAGACUGGGAUAACAUCGAGAAAUCGGUGCUAAUACCGGAUAAUAAAAAGAACUGCAUGGUUCUUUUUUGAAAGAUGGUUUCGGCUAUCACUUACAGAUGGGCCCGCGGCGCAUUAGCUAGUUGGUGAGGUAACGGCUCGACCAAGGCAACGAUGCGUAGCCGACCUGAGAGGGUGAUCGGCCACACUGGGACUGAGACACGGCCCAGACUCCUACGGGAGGCAGCAGUAGGGAAUCUUCCGC